AUGACCGGUGCUGGCAACACCGCCGAGUGCCUUCGUCCACGACGUGUCCCCGAGCCUGGCAAGCCUGGUGCGGCGCUUCGUCAACUUCGUCUUCGACCGUCUACGCAUGCCCGGUGCUGGCAACACCGACGCGUGCCUUCGUCUACGAUGUGUCCCCGGGGUUGGCAAACCCGGCGCGACGCGUCGUCAACACCAUUCUCCUUCCUGGCGCAUCACUUCUUCGACACCACUGCGCCCAUGACUAACUCGGCGCCUCCUUGCGCCUGCGGCUCCACGGCGACUCCCUCGACACCGGCUACCCCGACUCGACAUCGACCACGGCGUUCUUCGCACGGCUACCUCGACCAUGGCUACACCACCCUAUGCUCUCGGCUACAUCAACAUCGGCACAAAGGGCUAUCAUCUGCUUGA
RNAcentral lists this ribosomal RNA (411 nucleotides) under Triticum aestivum (bread wheat). RNAcentral's name for it is "partial small subunit ribosomal RNA". The record is from RNAcentral. Lineage: Eukaryota; Viridiplantae; Streptophyta; Magnoliopsida; Poales; Poaceae.